UACGUAGGUGGCAAGCGUUAUCCGGAUUUAUUGGGCGUAAAGGGAACGCAGGCGGUCUUUUAAGUCUGAUGUGAAAGCCUUCGGCUUAACCGGAGUAGUGCAUUGGAAACUGGGAGACUUGAGUGCAGAAGAGGAGAGUGGAACUCCAUGUGUAGCGGUGAAAUGCGUAGAUAUAUGGAGGAACACCGGUGGCGAAAGCGGCUCUCUGGCCUGUAACUGACACAGAGGCUCGAAAGCGUGGGGAGCAAACAGG
Molecule: ribosomal RNA, 253 nt
Filed under: uncultured bacterium
Lineage: Bacteria
Description: partial 16S ribosomal RNA
Rfam family: Bacterial small subunit ribosomal RNA
Source: RNAcentral